RNAcentral lists this ribosomal RNA (252 nucleotides) under uncultured bacterium. RNAcentral's name for it is "partial 16S ribosomal RNA". It matches the Rfam family "Bacterial small subunit ribosomal RNA", at positions 526 to 779 of the family's 1533-position model. The record is from RNAcentral.
CGGAGGAUGCAAGCGUUAUCCGGAAUGAUUGGGCGUAAAGCGUCCGCAGGUGGCAUUUCAAGUCUGCUGUCAAAGCACAGAGCUUAACUCUGGGUCGGCAGUGGAAACUGGGAAGCUAGAGAGCAAUAGGGGUAGAGGGAAUUCCCGGUGUAGCGGUGAAAUGCGUAGAGAUCGGGAAGAACACCAGUGGCGAAAGCGCUCUACUAGGUUGCAUCUGACACUGAGGGACGAAGCUAGGGAGCGAAUGGGAUU